RNAcentral lists this ribosomal RNA (301 nucleotides) under uncultured bacterium. RNAcentral's name for it is "partial 16S ribosomal RNA". It matches the Rfam family "Bacterial small subunit ribosomal RNA", at positions 509 to 810 of the family's 1533-position model. The record is from RNAcentral.
CAGUACCACGGGAAUACAGAGGGUGCGAGCGUUAAUCGGAUUUACUGGGCGUAAAGCGUGCGUAGGCGGCUUUUUAAGUCGGAUGUGAAAUCCCUGAGCUUAACUUAGGAAUUGCAUUCGAUACUGGGAAGCUAGAGUAUGGGAGAGGAUGGUAGAAUUCCAGGUGUAGCGGUGAAAUGCGUAGAGAUCUGGAGGAAUACCGAUGGCGAAGGCAGCCAUCUGGCCUAAUACUGACGCUGAGGUACGAAAGCAUGGGGAGCAAACAGGAUUAGAUACCCCUGUAGUCCCUGUCUCUUAUAAA